AACAACCCCCUCCCCCCUUUUAAUCCCCACACCAGCACAGCAAACCCUAGCCCCUCUCCCACCUGCCGCCACCUACCUUCCUCCACCCAUUCUUUUCUCUCUUCUCUGUGAGCAAACUAAGGAGAACAACCCCACAGCACCACCUCCUCGCCAUGGCGCCGCCGCUCCAGAGCAUCCCCAGCCGUUCUGAGGGCACCGCUACAACCGCCUCGUCGCCGUCUAUGCCGUGGUGCAAGGAAUCAAGCCAGAGCUUCCCGAGUUGAGCACAACGUCGCCAAUUCCCCGCGCCAUUCGCCACCCUUCUCCCUCGAUUCCGGCCACCCCAAGUCUCCCCUUGCCUGGCUGAACCUCCCUUGACCUUUCUGGUGCUCGUCGCCGGCCAUCCUCCGGUGGUUCCCCGGCGCCCAGACCACCACCAACAGACUCACCUUGAUCCCCUGCAGCGAACGCGCCAUCUCGCAGGCCCCGGUUCGCCCUGAGUCGCUAGAUCAGUGCAUGACCAGAUCUCAUCUCCGUCAUGGCUGCACAAGUUCGUCCUCGCCACUGUUGUUCAAGUUGCCCCGCUCCCUUCUCUUGACAUAAUCGAACCAGUAACACAGUGAUCCGAAACCAGCAAUGGGCCUCAGCCCAGAUCUUCCCGGCAGCCCGUUGCCCCGCACGGCCCGAAGCUAACCAUCGCCACCAGCAGGCCACAUCGGGCCCUGGACAGUGCAGUAUUUGCUUCUUCUCGGAUAGGAUCGCGAAGUGGUGAUAUGAGAUACGACAAGUUCUUCUGCUGCUUUUCACAGGCGAUCCCUCUCUCUUCACCUAUUAUACACUCUCCCUCGCACUACUAUCCUUAUGUUGCGAUUCUUUAUCGAGUCACGUGUCCUAUUCCACUUGUUUACCAUAAUAAUCCUAUAUGUAUCAUUCCUUACCCAUAGCCGUUGCUUGAUGUUUGAGCCUUGCGAGUCGUAGGCGUGUUUAGUCUCUGUUGUUUAUCUCGAUCUGUUAUCGGGAUAUGUUGGGUUGUUGGGAGGUUAUCACAUGCUAUAUCAGUUGUUGGAGAUACACAUGCUUUACUUAUUUGUUAACAACUAAAAUUGUAAGCAGAGGCAUCUGUGAGCCCCUUUGCGAAAGCAUCGGAACUUUGACUUGCUAAUGUCCCCUAGGACCCGAGUUCUUGUUAUCUGUUCCGAGAUUGAGCGCUCUACCCAUACGUGGGGGAGUGGGACCCCCAUCACCCACUACCUUUCCUCGAGUCUGUUUAUUGGGAGCCACAACCUUGGUUUUAUUUGCCCAUAUGCACGAUGCACGAUUUAUUUCCUGUUGCCUUCGGGUGUUUAUUUCUGUACUGUACUCAUAUUGCGGAUAGACUUAUCAUGUGCCUGGUCGUUAGUGCCCGCCUGGACUAUGUCGCAAACCUCUGGGUCCGUAUCGGAGUACGGCCGAACUUCGUCACGGGUAGCUUAGUUGGGUGGCUCCCAUUAAACUUUGUCUUGCAUUGGGAACGGUCUUGAUGUGAGACUCCACCUGUAGUAAGUGGGUUCGAGCAUGCGUAUGGUUACAUUUGGGCAACCCCUGCAGGGUGUACAUCUUAUCGAUAAGCCGUGUCCGCGGUUAUGGACGACUUGGAAUUGUAUGGCUUGAUCAUAGAACAACUUACACCGUUAUCUUGUUGCUAAUAAUCUGAUAAUAACUUGCGUAGUAAUAUAGCAUUACUACAACCGAUACCUAAUAAAACUUGUCCACCGUUGAGUGCCUUUUACAUUGCCUCUUCGCAAUUGUUGAAGGGGAUAUGUGUAAUUGGCUGGGUUAUGUUUGUGUAGUAUUAUAUCUGUUACCUUAUGCGCUCUCUUAUCUUCUCUGAUUAGACGGAUGUUGUAGUGUGUCUCCAUUGGUUAUAGUUUUGAUGCCGCUAAACCUACCAUAUAGCCCCCGGCGAUAUAUAUAUAUA
Molecule: long non-coding RNA, 1936 nt
Organism: Lolium perenne
Lineage: Eukaryota; Viridiplantae; Streptophyta; Magnoliopsida; Poales; Poaceae
Source: RefSeq, a predicted model, not a curated record